This 500-nucleotide ribosomal RNA is filed under the name uncultured bacterium. RNAcentral describes it as "bacterial SSU rRNA". It matches the Rfam family "Bacterial small subunit ribosomal RNA", at positions 30 to 526 of the family's 1533-position model. The record is from RNAcentral.
AUUGAACGCUGGCGGCACGCUUAACACAUGCAAGUCGAGCGGAAACGAAGGGAGCUUGCUCCCAGGCGUCGAGCGGCGGACGGGUGAGUAAUGCGUAGGAAUUUGCCCUAGAGCGGGGGAUAACUUUAGGAAACUGAAGCUAAUACCGCAUAGUGUCUACGGACUAAAGGUGCCUUCGGGUGCCACUCUAGGAGAAGCCUACGUCAGAUUAGCUAGUUGGUAGGGUAAAGGCCUACCAAGGCGACGAUCUGUAGCUGGUCUGAGAGGACGAACAGCCACACUGGGACUGAGACACGGCCCAGACUCCUACGGGAGGCAGCAGUGGGGAAUAUUGGACAAUGGGGGCAACCCUGAUCCAGCGAUGCCGCGUGUGUGAAGAAGGCCUUAGGGUUGUAAAGCACUUUCAGUAGAGAGAAAGGUGUUAGGUUAAGAGCUAAACACUGUGACGUUACCUACAGAAGAAGCACCGGCUAACUCUGUGCCAGCAGCCGCGGUUAAAG